UACGGGGGGAGCAAGCGUUGUUCGGAUUUACUGGGCGUAAAGGGCGCGUAGGCGGCCACCGCAAGUCGAUUGUGAAAUCUCCGGGCUUAACCCGGAAAGGUCAACCGAUACUGCGGGGCUAGAGUGCAGAAGGGGCAACUGGAAUUCUCGGUGUAGCGGUGAAAUGCGCAGAUAUCAGGAGGAACACCAAUAGCGAAGGCAGCUCGCUGGGACGGUACUGACGCUGAGGCGCGAAAGCGUGGGGAGCGAACAGG
RNAcentral lists this ribosomal RNA (254 nucleotides) under uncultured bacterium. Its description in RNAcentral is "partial 16S ribosomal RNA". It matches the Rfam family "Bacterial small subunit ribosomal RNA", at positions 524 to 776 of the family's 1533-position model. The record is from RNAcentral.